Molecule: ribosomal RNA, 881 nt
Filed under: uncultured bacterium
Lineage: Bacteria
Description: bacterial SSU rRNA
Rfam family: Bacterial small subunit ribosomal RNA
Source: RNAcentral
GCCUAAUACAUGCAAGUCGAACGGGAUUGAGAGCUUGCUUUCAUGAGAGUGGCGUACGGGUGCGUAACGCGUAUGCAACCUACCUUCAUCAGGGGGAUAGCCCGAAGAAAUUCGGAUUAACACCGCAUAAAAACACAGCUUGGCAUCAAGCAAUGUUCAAAUAUUUAUAGGAUGAAGAUGGGCAUGCGUGUCAUUAGCUAGUUGGUAAGGUAACGGCUUACCAAGGCUACGAUGACUAGGGGAUCUGAGAGGAUGACCCCCCACACUGGUACUGAGACACGGACCAGACUCCUACGGGAGGCAGCAGUAAGGAAUAUUGGUCAAUGGAGGCAACUCUGAACCAGCCAUGCCGCGUGCAGGAAGACUGCCUUAUGGGUUGUAAACUGCUUUUAUACGGGAAUAAACCUUAAUUCGUGAAUUAAGCUGAAUGUACCGUAAGAAUGAGGAUCGGCUAACUCCGUGCCAGCAGCCGCGGUAAUACGGAGGAUCCAAGCGUUAUCCGGAUUUAUUGGGUUUAAAGGGAGCGUAGGCGGCUUGUUAAGUCAGGGGUGAAAGACGGUGGCUCAACCAUCGCAGUGCCUUUGAUACUGACGAGCUUGAAUAUAGUUGAGGUAGGCGGAAUGUGACAAGUAGCGGUGAAAUGCAUAGAUAUGUCACAGAACACCGAUUGCGAAGGCAGCUUACUAAGCUAUUAUUGACGCUGAGGCUCGAAAGCGUGGGGAUCAAACAGGAUUAGAUACCCUGGUAGUCCACACUGUAAACGAUGAUAACUAACUGUUGGCUUUCGGGUCAGUGGUACAGAGAAAUCGUUAAGUUAUCCACCUGGGGAGUACGCCGGCAACGGUGAAACUCAAAGGAAUUGACGGGGUCCGCACAAGCGG